RNAcentral lists this microRNA precursor (66 nucleotides) under Erinaceus europaeus (western European hedgehog). Its description in RNAcentral is "mir-8/mir-141/mir-200 microRNA precursor family". It matches the Rfam family "mir-8/mir-141/mir-200 microRNA precursor family". From Rfam's summary of the family: The bounds of the precursors are predicted based on conservation and base pairing and are not generally known. Lineage: Eukaryota; Metazoa; Chordata; Mammalia; Eulipotyphla; Erinaceidae. The record is from Rfam by way of RNAcentral.
GUGGGCAUCUUACCGGACAGUGCUGGAUUUUCGCUCACUCUAACACUGUCUGGUAACGAUGUUCAA